RNAcentral lists this ribosomal RNA (586 nucleotides) under Fejervarya cancrivora (crab-eating frog). RNAcentral describes it as "partial 12S ribosomal RNA". Lineage: Eukaryota; Metazoa; Chordata; Amphibia; Anura; Dicroglossidae. The record is from RNAcentral.
AAAGGCAAUACCUGAUUCUGACCCGAACUUAUUCUCAAAUAUCUCUUAAUUUAUACAUGCAAGUCUCAGCACCCCCGUGAGGACGCCCUUUUUCCCUUUACCAGGUCAAGGAGCUGAUAUCAGGCACCACACCCAUCCCGCCCACAACAUCUAGUCCCACCGCGCCCACGGGGGGAUUCGGCAGUGAUAAACAUUGACUAUGAGCGCAACUUGGUUCCACUAAAUAGAAGAGGGACGGCUAACCAGGUGCCAGCCGACGGGGCUACGGGCCGGGGCCCCGGUUGACAGUGGGGGCCGUUAAGCCCAAGUAAGGCCUAACGCAAGGUGGGUUCAAGCUGGGAGGCGGAAUGGUGAAAGGGGGCAACGUCAAUUCAUCUCGAAAGGAAACGUAGCCCGAGUUCGGACGGGGAACAACCAUGGGACGGGGGCGACCAGGAGCGCUAACAUGCAGUUUUACGGGCUCAUUGGCCCAAGCUGCAAAAAAAGGCUCACGAAAGAUUUCCACUGCCUGCUGGGAAGACGCCUCAAGCUGGCAAUAACCAGGGCGCCGCCCCACCAAGAACAACGCUCAAAACUAUUUAUAUUU